RNAcentral lists this non-coding RNA (48 nucleotides) under unclassified sequences. Its description in RNAcentral is "DUF2693-FD RNA". It matches the Rfam family "DUF2693-FD RNA". From Rfam's summary of the family: DUF2693-FD RNA is a non-coding RNA (ncRNA) recognised in Bacteroides by a bioinformatic analisis by Zasha Weinberg. No recognised genes. The record is from Rfam by way of RNAcentral.
CCCUACGUGACUGAUGACAGGCAACACGUAGCGAGAACGUGCGAGGGG